This is a long non-coding RNA of Bos taurus (domestic cattle), 321 nucleotides long. The record is from Ensembl. Lineage: Eukaryota; Metazoa; Chordata; Mammalia; Artiodactyla; Bovidae.
AGUGAAACAGAGACACCGAGAGACACAGGGCUGACGCUGAAGUGAUUAUUCCAAACGGCUCUGCACGUCAUUCUUCUCUCUAGUGAUGAUGUGUUCAAGUAUGUUCACAGCUUUCAUUCAGACAAGACUUAUAUUCAAGUACCUGCUGAGAUUUAGAAGCUGAAUUCCACUCCAAAAUAAUCUCACCCUCCUCCUUAAAUCAUCCCCUUCUCUGAUGUCGACCAUCUCUGCAAUGGCAACCCUGUCCAUCACUCUCUCCUUUCCUCUCUAAGCACCCCUUCCCAACACCAUGACAAGCAUCCUUGAAAAUCUAAGUACUGG